ACAGAGGGUGCAAGCGUUAAUCGGAAUUACUGGGCGUAAAGCGCGCGUAGGUGGUUUGUUAAGUUGGAUGUGAAAGCCCCGGGCUCAACCUGGGAACUGCAUCCAAAACUGGAAAACUAGAGUACGGGAGAGGAUGGUGGAAUUCCCAGUGUAGCGGUGAAAUGCGUAGAUAUUAGAAGGAACACCAGUGGCGAAGGCGACUAUCUGGACUGAAACUGACACUGAGGCGCGAAAGCGUGGGGAGCAAACAG
RNAcentral lists this ribosomal RNA (251 nucleotides) under uncultured prokaryote. RNAcentral's name for it is "partial 16S rRNA". It matches the Rfam family "Bacterial small subunit ribosomal RNA", at positions 525 to 775 of the family's 1533-position model. The record is from RNAcentral.